UACGGUAGGGCGCAAGCGUUACCCGGAAUUAUUGGGCGUAAAGAGCUCGUAGGCGGUUUGUCGCGUCUGCCGUGAAAGUCCGGGGCUCAACUCCGGAUCUGCGGUGGGUACGGGCAGACUAGAGUGAUGUAGGGGAGACGUGGAAUUCCUGGUGUAGCGGUGAAAUGCGCAGAUAUCAGGAGGAACACCGGUGGCGAAGGCGGUUGGCUGGGCCGUUGCUGACACUGAUGCGCGACAGCGGUGGGGAGCAAACAGG
RNAcentral lists this ribosomal RNA (256 nucleotides) under uncultured bacterium. RNAcentral describes it as "partial 16S ribosomal RNA". It matches the Rfam family "Bacterial small subunit ribosomal RNA", at positions 524 to 776 of the family's 1533-position model. The record is from RNAcentral.